GGGGUUGUAGCUCAGUGGUAGAGUGCUUGCCUAGCAGGUGUGAGGCACUGAGUUUGAUCCUCAGCACCACA
This 71-nucleotide transfer RNA is filed under the name Marmota monax (woodchuck). Its description in RNAcentral is "tRNA.Ala". It matches the Rfam family "tRNA". Rfam says of the family: Transfer RNA (tRNA) molecules are approximately 80 nucleotides in length. Their secondary structure includes four short double-helical elements and three loops (D, anti-codon, and T loops). Further hydrogen bonds mediate the characteristic L-shaped molecular structure. tRNAs have two regions of fundamental functional importance: the anti-codon, which is responsible for specific mRNA codon recognition, and the 3' end, to which the tRNAs corresponding amino acid is attached (by aminoacyl-tRNA synthetases). tRNAs cope with the degeneracy of the genetic code in two manners: having more than one tRNA (with a specific anti-codon) for a particular amino acid; and 'wobble' base-pairing, i.e. permitting non-standard base-pairing at the 3rd anti-codon position. Lineage: Eukaryota; Metazoa; Chordata; Mammalia; Rodentia; Sciuridae. The record is from RNAcentral.